UGGCGGACGGGUGAGUAACGCGUAGGGAUUUAUCGUUGGGUGGGGGAUAACCUUGGGAAACUGGGGCUAAUACCGCAUGACGCCUGUGGGCAAAAGCAGCAAUGCGCCUGAUGAGGAGCCUGCGUACGAUUAGCUAGUUGGUGGGGUAAAGGCCUACCAAGGCGACGAUCGUUAGCUGGUCUGAGAGGAUGAUCAGCCACACUGGGACUGAGACACGGUCCGG
Molecule: ribosomal RNA, 223 nt
Filed under: uncultured bacterium
Lineage: Bacteria
Description: partial 16S ribosomal RNA
Rfam family: Bacterial small subunit ribosomal RNA
Source: RNAcentral